AUUGAACGCUGGCGGCAUGCUUUACACAUGCAAGUCGAACGGCAGCGCGGGCUUCGGCCUGGCGGCGAGUGGCGAACGGGUGAGUAAUGCAUCGGAACGUGCCCAGUAGUGGGGGAUAGCCCGGCGAAAGCCGGAUUAAUACCGCAUACGACCUGAGGGUGAAAGCGGGGGACCGAAAGGCCUCGCGCUAUUGGAGCGGCCGAUGUCGGAUUAGCUAGUUGGUGGGGUAAAGGCUUACCAAGGCGACGAUCCGUAGCUGGUCUGAGAGGACGACCAGCCACACUGGGACUGAGACACGGCCCAGACUCCUACGGGAGGCGGCAGUGGGGAAUUUUGGACAAUGGGGGCAACCCUGAUCCAGCCAUGCCGCGUGCGAGAAGAAGGCCUUCGGGUUGUAAACCGCUUUUGUUCGGGAAGAAAUCCUCUGGGCUAAUACCCCGGGGGGAUGACGGUACCGGAAGAAUAAGCACCGGCUAACUACGUG
RNAcentral lists this ribosomal RNA (484 nucleotides) under uncultured bacterium. RNAcentral's name for it is "partial 16S ribosomal RNA". It matches the Rfam family "Bacterial small subunit ribosomal RNA", at positions 28 to 507 of the family's 1533-position model. The record is from RNAcentral.